This 222-nucleotide unclassified non-coding RNA is filed under the name uncultured Thelephoraceae. RNAcentral describes it as "sequence contains ITS2". Lineage: Eukaryota; Fungi; Basidiomycota; Agaricomycetes; Thelephorales; Thelephoraceae. The record is from RNAcentral.
ACACCUCAACCCUCGUGGUUCGCCACGACGGGCUUGGACUUUGGAGGUUUUGCUGGCCCCCCUGUGGUCGGCUCCUCUCAAAUGAAUCAGCUUACCAGUGUUUGGUGGCGUCGCAGGUGUGAUAACUAUCUACGCUUGUGGCCGUCUGCCAUGCGACCUUCGGCGACGAGGGUUUGCUGGGGCUUACAGAUGUCUUUCCCGAGUGAAGACAGCUUUUUGAUC